GCAACCUGCCCUGGACUCUGGGAUAAGCGCUGGAAACGGCGUCUAAUACUGGAUAUGAGACGUGAUCGCAUGGUCGUGUUUGGAAAGAUUUUUCGGUCUGGGAUGGGCUCGCGGCCUAUCAGCUUGUUGGUGAGGUAAUGGCUCACCAAGGCGUCGACGGGUAGCCGGCCUGAGAGGGUGACCGGCCACACUGGGACUGAGACACGGCCCAGACUCCUACGGGAGGCAGCAGUGGGGAAUAUUGCACAAUGGGCGGAAGCCUGAUGCAGCAACGCCGCGUGAGGGAUGACGGCCUUCGGGUUGUAAACCUCUUUUAGCAGGGAAGAAGCGAAAGUGACGGUACCUGCAGAAAAAGCGCCGGCUAACUACGUGCCAGCAGCCGCGGUAAUACGUAGGGCGCAAGCGUUAUCCGGAAUUAUUGGGCGUAAAGAGCUCGUAGGCGGUUUGUCGCGUCUGCUGUGAAAUCCCGAGGCUCAACCUCGGGCCUGCAGUGGGUACGGGCAGACUAGAGUGCGGUAGGGGAGAUUGGAAUUCCUGGUGUAGCGGUGGAAUGCGCAGAUAUCAGGAGGAACACCGAUGGCGAAGGCAGAUCUCUGGGCCGUAACUGACGCUGAGGAGCGAAAGGGUGGGGAGCAAACAGGCUUAGAUACCCUGGUAGUCCACCCCGUAAACGUUGGGAACUAGUUGUGGGGACCAUUCCA
This 701-nucleotide ribosomal RNA is filed under the name Microbacterium sp. RNAcentral's name for it is "bacterial SSU rRNA". It matches the Rfam family "Bacterial small subunit ribosomal RNA", at positions 121 to 836 of the family's 1533-position model. Lineage: Bacteria; Bacillati; Actinomycetota; Actinomycetes; Micrococcales; Microbacteriaceae. The record is from RNAcentral.